RNAcentral lists this long non-coding RNA (511 nucleotides) under Homo sapiens (human). RNAcentral's name for it is "novel transcript". Lineage: Eukaryota; Metazoa; Chordata; Mammalia; Primates; Hominidae. The record is from RNAcentral.
AUGUAAAUGGGCAGGAUCAAUUCCUGCCAACAAAAACCCUGCUUCAUGGAAGAAGGCCAUGCUCCAUGGCAUAGAUAUGAACUUGUUAUGAUAUUUCUGAAGAAGAAGAGACUGUAAGGAAGACCUCUCCUAACUUAGCAACCAUUCUCCAUUUUCCAAAAGGGUAAACCAAGGCACAGAAAGAUAGGCACAAGGUAACUUAUGCAUGCAGAAGGUAACAAACACUCGUGCACACACACUGAAAAUCAGAAAGAGAGAGAGAGAGAGAGUUGCCAUAAUUAGUACUUUUGUUUAGAGAAGAAAGGCUGAAGCCUGGAGAAGUUAAGCAACAUGCUUAAAUCCACACAGCUAGUCAGAGGCAAAGCCAAGAUUUGAACGUGGGUAGUCUGAAUCCAGGAUCUUGGCCUUCACCCCUCUAUAACAUGACACCCUCAUCCCUGAAAAAAGAAAAAGUCAACCGAAAGCAUUGUGAAAAGUGUCCUCUAAUAAAAUGGCUAAUUCUGGCAACAGG